UACGGGGGGGGUAAGCGUUGUUCGGAAUUACUGGGCGUAAAGGGCUCGUAGGCGGCCAACUAAGUCGGACGUGAAAUCCCUCAGCUUAACUGGGGAACUGCGUCCGAUACUGGAUGGCUUGGAUUUGGGAGAGGAAUGCGGAAUUCCAGGUGUAGCGGUGAAAUGCGUAGAUAUCAAGAGGAAUACCUGAGGUGAAGACGGGUUGCUAGGCCGACACUGACGCUGAAGCGCGAAAGCCAGGGGAGCAAACGGG
RNAcentral lists this ribosomal RNA (253 nucleotides) under uncultured bacterium. RNAcentral describes it as "partial 16S ribosomal RNA". It matches the Rfam family "Bacterial small subunit ribosomal RNA", at positions 524 to 776 of the family's 1533-position model. The record is from RNAcentral.